RNAcentral lists this ribosomal RNA (497 nucleotides) under uncultured bacterium. Its description in RNAcentral is "partial 16S ribosomal RNA". It matches the Rfam family "Bacterial small subunit ribosomal RNA", at positions 28 to 507 of the family's 1533-position model. The record is from RNAcentral.
GAUGAACGCUGGCGGCGUGCCUAAUACAUGCAAGUCGAGCGAACAGAUGAGGAGCUUGCUCCUCUGACGUUAGCGGCGGACGGGUGAGUAACACGUGGAUAACCUACCUAUAAGACUGGGAUAACUUCGGGAAACCGGAGCUAAUACCGGAUAAUAUAUUGAACCGCAUGGUUCAAUAGUGAAAGACGGUUUUGCUGUCACUUAUAGAUGGAUCCGCGCCGCAUUAGCUAGUUGGUAAGGUAACGGCUUACCAAGGCAACGAUGCGUAGCCGACCUGAGAGGGUGAUCGGCCGCACUGGAACUGAGACACGGUCCAGACUCCUACGGGAGGCAGCAGUAGGGAAUCUUCCGCAAUGGGCGAAAGCCUGACGGAGCAACGCCGCGUGAGUGAUGAAGGUCUUCGGAUCGUAAAACUCUGUUAUUAGGGAAGAACAAAUGUGUAAGUAACUAUGCACGUCUUGACGGUACCUAAUCAGAAGGCCACGGCUAACUACGUG